RNAcentral lists this ribosomal RNA (423 nucleotides) under uncultured Glomeromycotina. RNAcentral's name for it is "SSU rRNA". It matches the Rfam family "Eukaryotic small subunit ribosomal RNA", at positions 671 to 1092 of the family's 1831-position model. The record is from RNAcentral. Lineage: Eukaryota; Fungi; Glomeromycota.
CGGUACGUACUGGCAUCGUCGGUUUCUCCCUUCUGACGAACCAUGAUGUCAUUUAUUUGGUGUUGUGGGGAAUCAGGACUGUUACUUUGAAAAAAUUAGAGUGUUUAAAGCAGGCUCACGCUUGAAUACAUUAGCAUGGAAUAAUGAAAUAGGACGUUUGAUUCUAUUUUGUUGGUUUCUAGGAUCGACGUAAUGAUUAAUAGGGAUAGUUGGGGGCAUUAGUAUUCAAUUGUCAGAGGUGAAAUUCUUGGAUUUAUUGAAGACUAGCUACUGCGAAAGCAUUUGCCAAGGAUGUUUUCAUUAAUCAUGAACGAAAGUUAGGGGAUCGAAGACGAUCAGAUACCGUCGUAGUCUUAACCAUAAACUAUGCCGACUAGGGAUCGGAUGAUGUUAAUUUUUUAAUGACUCAUUCGGCGCCUUACG